GAUGAACGCUGGCGGCGUGCCUAAUACAUGCAAGUCGAGCGAACAGAUGAGGAGCUUGCUCCUCUGACGUUAGCGGCGGACGGGUGAGUAACACGUGGAUAACCUACCUAUAAGACUGGGAUAACUUCGGGAAACCGGAGCUAAUACCGGAUAAUAUAUUGAACCGCAUGGUUCAAUAGUGAAAGACGGUUUUGCUGUCACUUAUAGAUGGAUCCGCGCCGCAUUAGCUAGUUGGUAAGGUAACGGCUUACCAAGGCAACGAUGCGUAGCCGACCUGAGAGGGUGAUCGGCCACACUGGAACUGAGACACGCUCCAGACUCCUACGGGAGGCAGCAGUAGGGAAUCUUCCGCAAUGGGCGAAAGCCUGACGGAGCAACGCCGCGUGAGUGAUGAAGGUCUUCGGAUCGUAAAACUCUGUUAUUAGGGAAGAACAAAUGUGUAAGUAACUAUGCACGUCUUGACGGUACCUAAUCAGAAAGCCAUGGCUAACUACGUG
Molecule: ribosomal RNA, 497 nt
Filed under: uncultured bacterium
Lineage: Bacteria
Description: partial 16S ribosomal RNA
Rfam family: Bacterial small subunit ribosomal RNA
Source: RNAcentral